RNAcentral lists this ribosomal RNA (283 nucleotides) under uncultured bacterium. Its description in RNAcentral is "partial 16S ribosomal RNA". It matches the Rfam family "Bacterial small subunit ribosomal RNA", at positions 335 to 603 of the family's 1533-position model. The record is from RNAcentral.
ACUCCUACGGGAGGCAGCAGUGGGAAUAUUGCACAAUGGGGAAGCCAUCGAUGCAGCCAUGCCGCGCUGUGUGAAGAAGGCCAAUUCGGGCUUGGUUAAAGACACUUUUCAGUCGUGAGGAAGGUAGUGUAGUUAAUAGCUGCAUUAUUUGACGUUAGCGACAGAAGAAGCACCGGCUAACUCCGUGCCAGCAGCCGCGGUAAUACGGAGGGUGCGAGCGUUAAUCGGAAUUACUGGGCGUAAAGCGCAUGCAGGCGGCCUGUUAAGUCAGAUGUGAAAGCCC